RNAcentral lists this ribosomal RNA (253 nucleotides) under uncultured bacterium. RNAcentral's name for it is "partial 16S ribosomal RNA". It matches the Rfam family "Bacterial small subunit ribosomal RNA", at positions 524 to 776 of the family's 1533-position model. The record is from RNAcentral.
UACAGAGGGUGCAAGCGUUGUUCGGAAUCACUGGGCGUAAAGCGCGCGCCGGCGGAUGGUUGCGUCCGGAGUGAAAUUUCGCCGCUCAACGGCGAAGCUGCUUUGGAUACGGACCGUCUAGGGACCGGUAGAGGCUGGUAGAAUUGCAGGUGUAGCGGUGGAAUGCGUAGAGAUCUGCAAGAAUACCCGUGGCGAAGGCGGCCAGCUGGGCCGGAUCCGACGCUGAGGCGCGAAAGCGUGGGGAGCAAACAGG